This 263-nucleotide ribosomal RNA is filed under the name uncultured Synechococcus sp. RNAcentral's name for it is "partial 16S ribosomal RNA". It matches the Rfam family "Bacterial small subunit ribosomal RNA", at positions 1272 to 1533 of the family's 1533-position model. Lineage: Bacteria; Bacillati; Cyanobacteriota; Cyanophyceae; Synechococcales; Synechococcaceae. The record is from RNAcentral.
UCCCAUAAACCGUGGCUCAGUUCACAUCGUAGGCUGCAACUCGCCUACGUGAAGGAGGAAGCGCUAGUAAUCGCAGGUCAGCAUACUGCGGUGAAUACUUUCCCGGGCCUUGUACACACCGCCCGUCACACCAUGGAAGUUGGCCACGCCCGAAGCCGUUACUCCAACCCUUGUGGAGGAGGACGUCGAAGGUGGGGCUGAUGACUGGGGUGAAGUCGUAACAAGGUAUCCGUACCGGAAGGUGCGGAUGGAUCACCUCCUAA